Molecule: ribosomal RNA, 301 nt
Filed under: uncultured bacterium
Lineage: Bacteria
Description: partial 16S ribosomal RNA
Rfam family: Bacterial small subunit ribosomal RNA
Source: RNAcentral
CAGCCGCCGCGGGAACACGGAGGAUCCAAGCGUUAUCCGGAAUCAUUGGGUUUAAAGGGUCCGUAGGCGGUCUUGUAAGUCAGUGGUGAAAGCCCAUCGCUCAACGGUGGAACGGCCAUUGAUACUGCAGGACUUGAAUUAUUGGGAAGUAACUAGAAUAUGUAGUGUAGCGGUGAAAUGCUUAGAGAUUACAUGGAAUACCAAUUGCGAAGGCAGGUUACUACCAAUUGAUUGACGCUGAUGGACGAAAGCGUGGGUAGCGAACAGGAUUAGAUACCCCGGUAGUCCUUGUCUCUUAUAC